RNAcentral lists this transfer RNA (69 nucleotides) under Ginglymostoma cirratum (nurse shark). RNAcentral's name for it is "tRNA-His". It matches the Rfam family "tRNA". From Rfam's summary of the family: Transfer RNA (tRNA) molecules are approximately 80 nucleotides in length. Their secondary structure includes four short double-helical elements and three loops (D, anti-codon, and T loops). Lineage: Eukaryota; Metazoa; Chordata; Chondrichthyes; Orectolobiformes; Ginglymostomatidae. The record is from RNAcentral.
GUAAUUAUAGUUUAACUAAAACAUUAGAUUGUGGUUCUAAAAACAAAAGUUAAAAUCUUUUUAAUUACC